ACUUCUUCAUUUCCAAAUCAAAACCCUAACUAGACAACAAUCUCAUAUUUUUUUAUGGGUUCGAGAGGAGGCAGCCUAAAUUGAUAGCAUUCUUAUAAUUUCCCAUGGGUUCGAGAGGAGCACCGUGGUUCUAUCCGAGCAAAGAGGAUAAGAAUGAAGUUGCAGUCAGCGCUCGAAGUCAUCAGUUUAGAGGUUGAUGACGUGUCGCACCAGGAAGAGGGUCAAAUAAACAAUGAAGAUCGUUUUGUCCAAGUUCGAGGGUCAGAGCCUCGUGAAAUGACACAAUUUCGUGAAUGAGCUCCUCACGAACGAGCUUCACUCCGGCCUACACGCCCUCUUCAGUUCGCAAGGUGCAAACCUUUCUUUCUAUUCCGACCCCUUAAUCUAGGGUUUCAUCUAUCUAACCCUUCUUUCACCCCUAAUCUAGGGUUUCAUCUAUCUAACCCUUCUUUCUUCCCGUCAUGCACUCCAAUAAUUUUAUGUCAAAUUAUUGCAUUGACUAUUGUUACCUCUAGUGACUAAAAGAAGUUUACCGAUAUAUAUGUAUGUGUGGUGGCUGGUGAUGUUGAUUGCAAUUUGAAACCAUAAACUCUGAUUACAAGUUACGUGAGCUUAAAUUUUUUCUUAGAGAACAUUUAUACACUUAUCCUAUUUGAUUAUUCCACUCUAGCCAUCCUUGUAUUAAAUUCCUUGCGAUUUUGGGAUUGGGGGUUUGGAUUUAGGGAAUUUCGUGUAUUCUUGAUGUUCAUCUAUAUCUGCAUAUUAUUGGUGCGUUUUGUGGGUUAAGGUUUCGUAUUGGGGAUUUGGGUUUCUGUCGUGGUAGUUGAUGGUGGUUGUGUAAGUGGCGUCAAUGGAGGUGCUGAUAGGUGUACCAACGAUCUGCAACGAUUUGUGAGUCUCUUCUCGAUUUUUCCUGCACUUGAAUAAAACAAAAAUCUCACAACACUUGAAAUUUCCUGCACAAGCUGAAAUUGAUUCGAAGAGUGAAAGUUUUUUCGCAAUUUUCUCAAAGCUAGAGAUCUUGACAUCUCUGUCAGAAGAGAACUUCUUUCCUUAAUCGGAAAGUUGUCCUGCAUUUGGAUAUGGCUUUGUCUUAUCUUGCUACCAAUUAUCUAUAUCAGUUCCUAGCCAGCCAAGGGAUUUCGUGAUAGGGCAUCAUCUUGGAGACACAAACAGUGCGAAGAAUGGAAGCACUUAUCUUGGGAGCAUUACAAUGGAGAAUGCGGUCGAUCACUCAAUUCUCUUUCAUACCUUUCUUCAUUGCCUUGAUGGGUCUCGAAGGCUCACCAAUGGGGAGGGUUAUGAAAAACCUUGCUUCUAAAAUCAUAUUCAUAUCACAAAUAGGUAUUCAUAGAUUCAUAAAAUAUGAUAUAGUUAAUGAUUUUGUACCUUCUUUUUUUUUUUUUCCAAAGACUGCAUUAACAAUUGGAAAUGUUAUUUGUCAUACUUUCACACUAUAUAGGUAGAAUUAUUGUCGUUACAUCAUUCUUUUUACAGUUACAUCAUUCUUUUUACAAUUAUUGCCGUUAGUAAUUAGAAGAAUUGGCUGGUUGAAUGAUUGAUUCUUUGGUGUGAUGCAUGCAGUUUUAUUGGCAAUCCUAAUUGCUUGAGCAAGCCACUGGAAAAUAGUUUUCUGCUGUCAAGUUUCUUACAAGUAAUAUGGUUUUCUUUAAUUGAGUGUUUUUUUAUGCCAAAUAUUUUAAGAGUUGGAUUAAGCUUAGUUAUGGUGUAGGUUCAAUUUUGAAAAGAGUUGUUAAUAGUUUUCAUUUAUUUGGAACAGAACAAGAUAUUGCUCGAAGUAUAUUAAUGAUACACAAUAUAGAACAUCUCAUUUUAUUUAUGUUACUAUAUAGAGAUAUUUCAUAUAUUGCUAUUUAAUAUUUGUUAUUAAAAAAAUAAUUAGUUAUAUUUAUUUUAAAUAUAAUAAAUAUUUAUAUAUGAUAGCGUGGUGAGGAAGUAUAACACCGAAUUCACCAGCUUGAAUCUAUAAAUUGGUGUGUGAUUAUAAGAUCAGUAAGUAAAUCAUGGAUUUGAGUGAUAUAUUAUUUUAUUAUUCAUUUUCAUUAAUUCUCUCUGAUCCAUUCCUCUGAAAUGUGCUUUUGUACAUUAGAAUGUAUCUGGAAGAUAUUUUUAUCUGUAGAAAGUAGUACUUGGAUUAAAUAAUCAUUGUAGUUUUAUCCCCCUAUUUUGCUUCUUUUUUGUAUUCGUAUUUUUCAUAAAUUAAAUAAUAGUUUUAGAAAAUAAACCAUUCUAUAGAAAUGAUUUAAAAAAUUCUGAGCGAUUGUUUUUUUAAAUGAAAAAGUUAGGGAGUUUUUUUUUUUUCUUUUUCUUUGUGGAAGAGAUGUCCAGUUACUCAGUAUAUGUUACUAAUGAAAAAGUAAUAUUUUAUGACGGAUCUAUUAUUACAGAUAAAAAUAAUUCAUCAUCAUAAGAUAUAUUAUGAUAGAUUCAUGGAUAUCAAUUAUAAUAUAAUACAAUGAAUAUAAAACAUAUUAUGACGGAGUUUUAAACAUCGAGAAUAAUAGAUAACACUUAAAAUGUAUUAUAACGAAAUUAUAAACUAUUUGUUAUAAUUUUGAUAAUAUAGCAUGACUGAUUUUUAAAAAUCAGUUAUAAUACCUUCCUAAAUCUAAUUUUCCCAUCUCCCUCUGCAAUUUGAGUCCUCUCGAAAUUCUUUUCAAGUUCGCAGCAACCCUAAUUUCUAAGGCUUUGCACCCUCUCUUCUUCAUUCUUUUGAACGUUCAUCACUAUCUUCAACCAUGCGGUUCUUCACAUCGCCGGUAUCUAAUUCUUCUCUUUCGUCGUUUAUCAUUUCUGGUGACCAAUCCUUCACUUCUCAAGUUCUUCUUCAGGUUUUUCUCUCGCCUCUACGUUAAAUGCGGAAACCUAAACAUUUUGAUUUUCCCUGUCUCUUUCCUGAUUCGAAUAUUGGACUACAGCAGACACUAUUUGCGCCCAAGCUCACUUUUCCUUCCUUUCCUUCUUCCUCUUCUCUAUUGCGUUAAUUUCUACGGCUCCUUCGACUCCAAUUUCAUGGCGUUGCACUCCUCUUAUUGCGAUGUCUAGUUUCGCCGUGAGAGCUGAUUCCAACCUCGAAGACAAUGGUGAAAUCACCGAAGAUGUUCCUUCCGAUAAUGUUGACGACGUUUCGAAAGGCGAAACAGAACAACUUUCGGAUUCUGAAAAUUUCCCCAAAAAGCCAGAGUCAAGCUUGGAGUCGUUAUGGGGGAAGGGUUAGAUGAUAUCGUAAGGUAUGGCACAUAGGAGUUAUUUGCUAUGAAAAUGAUGAAGCAAGCAAGUCUAGUCAGAUUCAUUAUGAUGAUGAUGCUAUAGACAGGUAAUAAAAAGCUUUGAUUCGCGGUGUAUAUUAUGGUUAAAUUUCUAAGAAUUAGUUUCAUUUUCCUCUUUAUGAUAAAUUGCUGGAUCGUGUUGGUUUGGAUGGUGAAGAUGAAGAUGGAUUUCUGAAGGCUUUUAAGGUUUACUCUAUCAUAUAAUUUUGCAUAUGCUUUUGUGCUCCCACUCUUUGUUCCAUCUCAACUGCUGCACUUUCAAAAACUUUCAAUGACAAACUUGGAUACGUAUAUCUCAUUUAAAAGAAAUUGGUAGCAGUCUAUGCCUUUAUAAGUUUGCAUAAAUUUGUAGUUAGCUAUGCUUUUGUGAUCUUUCAAUUAAAAUCCUUUUGAUAGAACUAGGCUCAAGAAUUUCUAUAUUCCAUAAAUAACUUCCANUUGCGGAAAANAAGUGCUUAUGNNNCCUGAUACUAAACAAUAAAUAUCAUCUGUGUUUAUUUUUGUUGAUGCUAAUAACUGGUCUAAUUAAAAAACACAACAAUCUCAUACAUAAGUCAUAACUGUCUUUUGUUGGAGGAGCAUUNAACCUCUGUUACUUUCCAUGUUCUCUUCAUCUAUAAAUAAUAGCUCAGAAUCUCCUUGUCCCCAUUCUUUCAGAUUCUUUGCUUUAUUGAAUUAACAUAUUCUAUGCUGAAGGUGGCAAAUUUCGAAUACAUAGACGAAGUUAAGCCAGCAGAGGAGGUGCCACAAAAAGAAUCAGAGGUGAAUCAAUCCUCUGUUGCCAAUUUGAAGAAAUCAGCUUACUGGGAUGGCUUGUUGAAAAGAGGAUAUGAACAGUGUAGAAUAGAAGAAUUAGAUGCCUUAGGCAAAGGGAAGCGAACCCGCACCAAAUGGCUGGAAAGUCAUGCACGAGUUUUUGCUGCUAACAAGUAUUAAUUGGAGCGAAGACCAGUUUUUGCUGCUAACAAGUAUUCAAUUGUUCUAAUGCUGGUUUCGAUUCUAAGGACUACACGCCUAAAAUGAGAAUAGAUAUUUAUUGGUUAUCCAAUAACAACUUAGAAAUGGGUAAAAGAUAGGUCCAACAACUCUUUUAGCAUAGACUCUGAGACAAUUUCAGAAAGUAGACUUUUAAGCUUAAGUUAACCUCAACAAACCAGAAUGAAAUAUGGAGUUUAUAUUCAUUUAUAUAAAAUAAUUUGGUCAUAUCUCUAGUCAUGUGUAGAUUCUCACAAUGGAAUUUUUACCAUUACAAAUGUGUUCAUUUUUGUUUCUUAUUUUAGUUGUGCAUUUAAGGUUGUAUCUUGUUGAUGAUUUUCCCAAUUCCCCUAUGAUUUCUCUCUAGGGGGAAGGUUGUAGUAACUGGGGAGAUCUAAGCUCCGAUGAUGAAAAUUAUGAAGUGGAUCAUAGUGAAGAUGAUUCAAAUUCAUUCGAGACUCCUACUUCUACUAGAAGGGGAAAGAAAAUUCGUGCAGGGAUCUCAGAGCCACUUCCUAUAAAGGAAGGUCAAGGAAGAUCGUUGAAAGUACUUGGCUUUAGUCAAAAUCAAAGGGCUGAUUUUCUUUAAAUUUUAAUGAGGUUUGGGGUUGGUGAUUAUGAUUGGAAACAGUUUGCUCCUAGGAUGAAACACAAUAGUUAUGAAGAAAUCACGGAGUAUGGCAAACUUCUUGUCUCAUAUUGCAGAAGAUAUUAUUGAUUCACCAACAUUCACAGGAAAAAGAAUAUACAAUGGUGGUAGACAAUCCUCUGCUUUGUGCUAGCUAUAAUUAAUUGCAACAUUGAUGGUCACGGCAGCGUGAUGGGAGAUUGAUUUCACUUCUCCGUGGAAGUGAUACAUAAGUGUUAAAGUACGGUGAUGAAGCCGUUUAGCAAGUAAAUAAAGGAGCCAUAAGGAUUUCUGAUCAUAUGGAUUGCUACUAGUUAUGGUGGAGGUGAUCUUUAAAUAAUCUCUAUGGAAGGAUAUGUCUCACUAUCCUCGUCCUGUCACCACAUCUACAAGUUUGCGUUCUGUCGAAAGUGGACCUUUGACUGAUCUUAACUCUCAUACCCCUCAGCUUGGACUUCCUGGGAUAAAAUUUCAAGGGCCCAUACCUUUGUAUCAAUCUAGAGGGGAUAUAGGAUCAUGGGGAGCUUCUCCGCCAGCUCCAAAUGCAAAUGGUGGUAGGCUUGCUAUGCCAAUGUAUUGCAGCAGCCUACGGAGUAUUACUUUCUAUUAUGCUAAUUUUGAAAAAACUUGGUGAUUUAUGUUAUUAUCUGCUAAUUUCAAAAUAAGUUGAACUUCAACUUUAGGUCAUUUUGGUGUUAUUUAAUUAUUUAUUAAUUAUUAUUUUUCAAUGUGUUUCAAUCAUUCAUGUGCUAAUAUAUAUUUGGAAUGGCUGAAAAGAAGAUAGAAUAUAGGGUGAAAUUAUUCAUCAAGAAGGUUUUUGAUAGGUUUUCAGACCAAUAACGAGAUGCUUUAGAAAUUGCAUUUCUUUAUUCCAACAUCAUACCAGAUUUCCUCCAAUGUGGAGAAAUCAAACACAUACAAUUUCUGGUUAUUUAAGAGAACCAAACUGGUCACUCUUUUUAUUAUUUUCAGAAUAUACAAAAACAAUGAAAAAACUACUAAAAAUAAUUGCCUACCCAGACUUUAUAAGAGUCUGAGACAACAAAAUCUACCCACAGACAGUUAUAACCAUUUAUCCCUUUUAUUUCUCCUAAGAUAAACAUUUUCUUUGAACCUAUUUGUACCCCCUCCAUGAAGUUUCACCUUGUCGUCAAGGUGAAAAGUACGAAACUCCUUAUUGAUGAUAGUAACAUUUUCCUAGCUGUUUUCAAUGGGUGAGAGGUAUUUUCAACUAGACGAACUAACUUCUUUUUCCCUUAUUUUGUAAAUUGUAUCAAACCUAUCAACACCCCUUCCAUGAAGGUGCACCUUAUCUUCAAGGUGAAAAUCUGAAAAUUCUUUAUGAAUGCAGGCAAUAGAUUCUCCUAACUCCUGCAUUUCCUCUUCCGAAAUAAGCAGGAUAUGGAGCUAUUUAUUUUUGCAAGUAUGAUUAUGCCCAAACUUUUCAUCACACCUGAAGCAUAAGCCCUUUUUUAUUCUUAUCUUGCAAUUUUUCUUGGGACUAUUUUCUAAAUGGUGUCCCUCUUUGUUGAGUUCUAGUAGGAGAACUAUUGAUGGUGCAAAACCUAUUGAAUUUUCCCCUUCCUUUAACUAACUGCAAGUAGGUGCCAAUUGUUUGUAGGUAUUAAUUUGAAGUUGCAUAGUGAGAGAGUCCCCCUUAGUGGUGACUCUAAACUUUUACUCCACCAUUCAGGCCUUCAUGAUUAACUCAGCAAGAUUCUGGGGUUCAUAAAGUUUAACCUCCACCAUUAUGUCUUCCUUCAAUCCAUUCAAGAACAUGCCCACCAAGAAAUCUUGCUGCAUUCCUUUCAUGAACCCUGCAUAUUGUUCAAACUUCUCAAUAUAUUCCCUUACUUGUCCCGUUUGGCAUAGGCCAAUCAAAAUUUUAAACGGGUUUUGCAGCAUUGUUGGCUGAAAUCUUUUAACCACCGCGCCUUUGAAGGCUUCCCAUGUGAGAUGCGGAUUGUAGGUUUCCCACCAUUGAUACCAAUUCAAAGCUUUCCCCUCCAAUGCCACCAUAACAUCCUGCAUUUGCUCCUCCUCACUAACCUCUCUCAAAACGAAAAUAUUGCUCUAACCUAUUGGUCCACCCAUAAGCUUCGUCUCCUGUAAACAUAGGAUGUCCAACUUCCUCCAAUUGGCAGAAAUCCCAACAGAACUUCCUCCUGCAUUACCCCCAUUGUACUCAUGGGCAUCCAUGACAACAAAAUCUUGGGCCUCUUGAUGCUUAUCAGAGGAUGCCAAGCGUUCAACCACCCCAUUAGUCCUUGAAUCAUCUCUUCCAAUCACUGGAAGCGACGAUUAUUUGCGUGUUCUUGUUCUUCGACAAUCUUUUCCAACCCAUCCCAUCUUUCCUCCAUUCUUGUGUUGACUAUUAAACUACAGUAUGCCCCCACUUCACCAGGAAUGAGGCUCUGGAUACCAAUUUAUGGGUUUUCAGACCUAUAACGAGAUGCUUUAGAAACUGCAAAUCUUUAUUGCAACAACAUACCAGGUUUCCUUCAAAGAAACCAAAUACAUACAAUUUCUGGUUAUUUGAGAGAAGCAGACUCUCCACUCUUCCUAUUCUUUUCAUAAUGUACAAAAACAAUGAAAAAACUACUAAAAACAAUUGCGGACACAAACUUUAUAAAAGUCUGAUACAACAAAACCUAUCCACAUACAGUUAUAACUGUAUGUUCCAUUUAUUUCUCCUAAUAUAAACAUUUCCCUUGAACCUAUCAGUUUCCUUGUUCUUGCUUGCCUUGAUAUUUUUAACAGCCUUGGUAUUUUUAAUCUUGUUAGCAAGUAUAAUGUAGAGUAUAGUUGCUUUAUGUUUGAGAAGAUUCGCUGGUGGAAUAAUAAUUCAUUUGGCUAAUUUUUUUUAUUUUUUCUAUACAGGAUGACCCAGACCUAUUUCAAAAAGUGUCUUGACAAUAGGUGGGGAAACUCUUCUCAUAAUUUUUAUUAACAGUCAGAUUCAUAUAUAUUGUCUGCAUAUGGCAUAUAAAGAUCGUGACUGUUCUGUCUCCCUUGUUUUAAUAGGUUAUUAUCGUUACAUGCUCCCUCAUGAAUUACAUUAUUAGUAAGACUUAUAUGUACAGGACUAAUUCUAUUCGUGUCCUUUGUCGCAUCACAUAUAGAACACUCCUCACCGAAAUAGAGCGAUAUCUGAAAAAACGAAUUGUAGAUAAGAAUCCAAUUGUUGCAAGUUCAUCCUUAGUUAGCGGCAUUCAUCUGCUUCAAGCCAAAAGUGUCCUUAGGUUUCUUUUCAUUUAACUAUUUAAGCUUAUCAACUCAAUUGCUUUGAUAAGAAGUGGCAGAAUUAGCCCUCAUGAAUUGCUUUUGGUAUCAUUCCGAUAUCUGAAGUGGUAGAAGUAAAUUCACGUACAUCUUUUAUUUUUAUCCGAUAUGGAAUUUUUGUUUGUAUUCUAAAAGUAAUAACUAUGAAAAGACAAUUUUUUAACAUUUUCUUUUCCGAUUGACACUCACUCAAUUCAUCUCUAUUUUUAUAUGUAUGUGUACAAUGGUACAGUAGAUGUAGGGCUGAUGCCAAUGAAGCUACUGUUAUUCUUCUUCCAUCAAAUAUUAUUGUUUUUACUCUUGACUUCUCGGGGUCAGGCUUAACUGAUGGAGAUCAUGUUAGCUUUUGGUUGGCAUGAAGUAAGUUUACCUAUUAAUGUAAACUUAAUUUAUCAUGUAUAUUUUCACCUUUCCUCUUCUAUUUACGAUUAAAAAGAGACAUAUUGUUAUAAUAAAUUUUAACCAUUUAGUGGGUUAGUUGGUUGUAUGUCAACCUCAAUAAGGGGUUAAGAUUUAUUAAAUAGAACAUCUUUUGUUAACAAGAAACAGGAUAGGAUCCAAUCUUACUUUU
Vigna radiata var. radiata (mung bean) is the source of this 8746-nucleotide long non-coding RNA. RefSeq lists it as uncharacterized. The transcript is spliced from 11 exons. Lineage: Eukaryota; Viridiplantae; Streptophyta; Magnoliopsida; Fabales; Fabaceae. The record is from RefSeq and is a predicted model, not a curated record.